UUUUUAGGUGCCUUCUGAAGAAAAAGCAUGCUUUCUUCCUCUUUGAACACAGUGCUGGGUAUAAAAGAAGUGGUGUGAAGGAAUGCAUGACAUCUUGGAGGAUGACCAGUGGAUGAGGAGGUGAAAGUGCUGCCGAGGGGUUUACAUUGAUGAUGCUCCACCCAGAAACUUCUCGGGGACCAGUGAUGAGGAAAAUAUCCCUCCUCCUGCUUUCACAGACCUACUGGCCAUUUAACUGUCCAGCAAGCUUAAAGGCCUUUAAAAGAUGGAAACCAAAAUCUACCUUUGAUGAUUCGCCGCCACACGGGUAGUUCCGUUAUUCCCAUUGCUCUCAUCGUCAUGCUUCCCUUCAUCUCCCCGGCCGUUGUCAACUCGGCCCAUCAACGCUCCAAUUGGACCCUCCAG
RNAcentral lists this long non-coding RNA (405 nucleotides) under Dasypus novemcinctus (nine-banded armadillo). Its description in RNAcentral is "lncRNA (ENSDNOG00000052664.1)". Lineage: Eukaryota; Metazoa; Chordata; Mammalia; Cingulata; Dasypodidae. The record is from RNAcentral.